RNAcentral lists this ribosomal RNA (465 nucleotides) under uncultured bacterium. RNAcentral describes it as "partial 16S ribosomal RNA". It matches the Rfam family "Bacterial small subunit ribosomal RNA", at positions 338 to 795 of the family's 1533-position model. The record is from RNAcentral.
CCUACGGGUGGCAGCAGUAGGGAAUUUUCGUCAAUGGGCGCAAGCCUGAACGAGCAAUGCCGCGUGAACGAGGAAGGUCUUCGGAUCGUAAAGUUCUGUUGAAGGGGAAAAAGAGCGGAGCGAGGAAAUGAACUCCGAUUGAUAUUACCCUUCGAGGAAGUCACGGCUAACUACGUGACAGCAGCCGCGGUAAUACGUAGGUGGCGAGCGUUAUCCGGAAUGAUUGGGCGUAAAGGGUGCGUAGACGGCCUGCUAAGUCUGGAGUGAAAGGUACCGGCUCAACCGGUAAAGGUUCUGGAAACUGGCGGGCUAGAGGGAAGGAGAGGGCGGUGGAACUCCAUGUGUAGCGGUAAAAUGCGUAGAUAUAUGGAAGAACACCAGAGGCGAAGGCGGCCGCAUGACCUGUUGACUGACGCUGAGGCACGAAAGCGUGGGGAGCAAAUAGGAUUAGAUACCCCGGUAGUC